Saccostrea cuccullata (small rock oyster) is the source of this 400-nucleotide long non-coding RNA. RefSeq lists it as uncharacterized. The record is from RefSeq and is a predicted model, not a curated record. NCBI's taxonomy places the organism in Eukaryota, Metazoa, Mollusca, Bivalvia, Ostreida, Ostreidae. The transcript is spliced from 3 exons.
UAUGUGAUAUACUACAACGAGAGGAGAGCUGGCUAUCACUAUCCAGACUACUACUCCGCAUUUGCUUUUAAUGAAUUGUGUGAAUUUGAAGUUUAUGGAUGUCCUAAUUCUACAUACUAUGGAAAAUAUUGCGAACAAUCGUGUUCGGACAGUUGUCUUGGACAGAGGUGUAAUUUCUUAACAGGGAACUGUCUCAUGGGAUGUUCAAGUGGAUAUGAGGGGCCUCAAUGUAGACAGAAAUGUGACGGUGGAAUGUUUGGAGCAACCUGCAGUCAAAAAUGUGGUCAUUGUUAUGGUAAUACACAGUGUCAUCAUAUCAACGGCACAUGUCAAGCAGGAUGUUCUGCCGGAUAUGUUGGAUCUCUUUGCAACAAUAGUAAGAAAAACUAUAUCGUCAACG